AUCACCAUUGUUUAUAACAACACAUAAAGAGCCAUCCACAUCCACUCACAGGUCACAGGUCACAGGUCACAGUAACUAUUUACAGGUACAACAAACUCUCAGUUCCCACAGUUUGUUGAGAAACUGCACCUGAACCUCAGUAUUUUAUUCUCACUGCAGCUGCAGCCGCCACAGAGAGAAACAGACGGACCUGGAUUGUACUGCGGGGCUGAGAUCGUCUCUACCUUUACAGGAUCCUGAAGGUGACGUCUGAUAAAUACUCCAAAACCCAAAGACACUGAAUUUGUGGGAUUGAUUGAUUGAUUGACGGUUGCAGCUCCAGUUGUCAGGUUGAGUAAAAUCACUUUGCUGACACUUCAGUUCAUCAAGUCUGAACAUAUCAUCAUCAUCAUCAUCAUCAUCUACCUGCUGCUUGUUCCAGCUGGAGGAACAGGUAUUUGUUGCUCUACCUGUUGACACUGAGCAGUUCUCUCUCUCUUCAGUGACCUGUGUGUGUGUGUGUGUGUGUGUGUGUGUGUGUGUGUGUGUGUGUGUGUUGAACUGCAGGUCGUGCAACGAUGAAGCAAACUCCAAGUACAUUUACUUUGAGCGCUGUACUUAAGAAUAUUCUCUGAGUAUUUGUACUUUACUUGAGUAUCUUUUUUUUGUUGUUGCAAACUUCUGACUUUUACUCCGCGACGCUCUUUUACUUUGAAGCAGAGCUUUUAGUGAGAGGAAUGAAUUCUGUGACGGACCAUAUCCUGUGUUCCCCACAGGAGAAGAAGAAUCCCAGCGAGUC
Long non-coding RNA from Seriola aureovittata, 778 nucleotides. RefSeq lists it as uncharacterized. The record is from RefSeq and is a predicted model, not a curated record. The transcript has 4 exons. Lineage: Eukaryota; Metazoa; Chordata; Actinopteri; Carangiformes; Carangidae.